AGGAGUGCAGCUCAGUGGUGGAGCGUGUGCUUAGUGUGCAGGGGGUCCUGGGUUCCAUCCCCAGUACUUCGA
This 72-nucleotide transfer RNA is filed under the name Camelus bactrianus (Bactrian camel). It matches the Rfam family "tRNA". From Rfam's summary of the family: Transfer RNA (tRNA) molecules are approximately 80 nucleotides in length. Their secondary structure includes four short double-helical elements and three loops (D, anti-codon, and T loops). RNAcentral also lists the same sequence under 2 other names. Lineage: Eukaryota; Metazoa; Chordata; Mammalia; Artiodactyla; Camelidae. The record is from Rfam by way of RNAcentral.